RNAcentral lists this ribosomal RNA (542 nucleotides) under Stenonabis yasumatsui. Its description in RNAcentral is "partial large subunit ribosomal RNA". It matches the Rfam family "Bacterial large subunit ribosomal RNA", at positions 1804 to 2603 of the family's 2925-position model. Lineage: Eukaryota; Metazoa; Arthropoda; Insecta; Hemiptera; Nabidae. The record is from RNAcentral.
UUUUUACAAACAUGUCCUUUUGACUAUAAUUAAUAUAAGGUUUAACCUGCCCAAUGACUAAUAAAGGUUUAAUGGCCGCAGUAUCUUAACUGUGCAAAGGUAGCAUAAUCAUUUGUCUUUUAAUUGGAGACUAGUAUGAAUGGUUUGAUGAGGAAUAUACUUUCUUUAUUUUAUUUUAAUGAAUUUAAUUUAUAAGUUAAAAAGCUUAUAUUUUAUUAAAAGACGAGAAGACCCUAUAGAGCUUUAUUAUUUAUAUAUUUAUAUAAAUAUAUUUAAUAUAAAUUGUUAUAUAUAUAUUAUAAUUUUAUUGGGGUGAUAAUUAAAUUGUUCUAACUUUAAUUUUUAUUAAUCUCAUAAAUUAAUGAUUUAAGUUGAUCUUGUAUUAUUGAUUAUAAGACUAAGUUACCUUAGGGAUAACAGCGUAAUUCUAUUGGAGAGUUCAUAUUAAUAAUAGAGUUUGCGACCUCGAUGUUGGAUUAAAAUAAGUAUUGGGUGUAGAAGCUUAAUAACUAAGUCUGUUCGACUUUUAAAUUUUUACAUGA